RNAcentral lists this ribosomal RNA (415 nucleotides) under uncultured Devosia sp. Its description in RNAcentral is "bacterial SSU rRNA". It matches the Rfam family "Bacterial small subunit ribosomal RNA", at positions 358 to 790 of the family's 1533-position model. The record is from RNAcentral. Lineage: Bacteria; Pseudomonadati; Pseudomonadota; Alphaproteobacteria; Hyphomicrobiales; Devosiaceae.
GGAAUAUUGGACAAUGGGCGCAAGCCUGAUCCAGCCAUGCCGCGUGAGUGAUGAAGGCCUUAGGGUUGUAAAGCUCUUUCAGUGGGGAAGAUAAUGACGGUACCCACAGAAGAAGCCCCGGCUAACUUCGUGCCAGCAGCCGCGGUAAUACGAAGGGGGCUAGCGUUGUUCGGAUUUACUGGGCGUAAAGCGCACGUAGGCGGAUUGGUCAGUUAGGGGUGAAAUCCUGGAGCUCAACUCCAGAACUGCCUUUAAUACUGCCAGUCUAGAGUCCGGAAGAGGUAAGUGGAACUCCUAGUGUAGAGGUGGAAUUCGUAGAUAUUAGGAAGAACACCAGUGGCGAAGGCGGCUUACUGGUCCGGUACUGACGCUGAGGUGCGAAAGCGUGGGGAGCAAACAGGAUUAGAUACCCCAG